UACGAAGGUGGCAAGCGUUGUUCGGAUUUACUGGGCGUACAGGGAGCGUAGGCGGUUGGAUAAGCCCUCCGUGAAAUCUCCAAGCUUAACCUGGAAAGUGCAGAGGGGACUGUUCAGCUAGAGGAUGGGAGAGGAGCGCGGAAUUCCCGGUGUAGCGGUGAAAUGCGUAGAGAUCGGGAGGAAGGCCGGUGGCGAAGGCGGCGCUCUGGAACAUUUCUGACGCUGAGGCUCGAAAGCGUGGGGAGCAAACAGG
This 253-nucleotide ribosomal RNA is filed under the name uncultured bacterium. RNAcentral's name for it is "partial 16S ribosomal RNA". It matches the Rfam family "Bacterial small subunit ribosomal RNA", at positions 524 to 776 of the family's 1533-position model. The record is from RNAcentral.